UGGCGGCGUGCUUAACACAUGCAAGUCGAACGGAAAGGCCUUUUCGGAGGUACUCGAGUGGCGAACGGGUGAGUAACACGUGGGUGAUCUGCCCUGCACUCUGGGAUAAGCCUGGGAAACUGGGUCUAAUACCGGAUAGGACCGCACUUUAGUGUGUGUGGUGGAAAGUUUUUUCGGUGUAGGAUGAGCCCGCGGCCUAUCAGCUUGUUGGUGGGGUAAUGGCCUACCAAGGCGGCGACGGGUAGCCGGACUGAGAGGUUGGUCGGCCACAUUGGGACUGAGAUACGGCCCAGACUCCUACGGGAGGCAGCAGUGGGGAAUAUUGCACARUGGGCGCAMGCCUGAUGCAGCGACGCCGCGUGGGGGAUGACGGCCUUCGGGUUGUAAACUCCUUUCGCCAGGGACGAAGCGUUUUGUGACGGUACCUGGAGAAGAAGCACCGGCUAWCUACGUGCCAGCAGCCGCGGUAAUACGUAGGGUGCAMGCGUUGUCCGGAAUUACUGGGCGUAAAGAGCUCGUAGGUGGUUUGUCGCGUCGUCUGUGAAAUUCCACAGCUUAWCUGUGGGCGUGCAGGCGAUACGGGCAUAWCUUGAGUACUGUAGGGGUAACUGGAAUUCCUGGUGUAGCGGUGAAAUGCGCAGAUAUCAGGAGGAACACCGAUGGCGAAGGCA
This 671-nucleotide ribosomal RNA is filed under the name Corynebacterium sp. 201281014. Its description in RNAcentral is "bacterial SSU rRNA". It matches the Rfam family "Bacterial small subunit ribosomal RNA", at positions 37 to 723 of the family's 1533-position model. The record is from RNAcentral. Lineage: Bacteria; Bacillati; Actinomycetota; Actinomycetes; Mycobacteriales; Corynebacteriaceae.